This 466-nucleotide ribosomal RNA is filed under the name uncultured bacterium. Its description in RNAcentral is "partial 16S ribosomal RNA". It matches the Rfam family "Bacterial small subunit ribosomal RNA", at positions 28 to 507 of the family's 1533-position model. The record is from RNAcentral.
GAUGAACGCUGGCGGCGUGCUUAACACAUGCAAGUCGAACGGAAAGGCCCAAGCUUGCUUGGGUCCUCGAGUUGCGAACGGGUGAUUAACACGUUGGUGAUCUGCCCUGCACUUCGGGAUAAGCCUGGGCAACUGGGUCUAAUACCGGAUAGGACCACAUUUUGGAUGGUGUGGUGGAAAGUUUUUCGGUGUGGGAUGAGCUCGCGGCCUAUCAGCUUGUUGGUGGGGUAAUGGCCUACCAAGGCGUCGACGGGUAGCCGGCCUGAGAGGGUGUACGGCCACAGUGGGACUGGGAUACGGACAAGACUCAUACGGGAGGGAGAAGUGGGGAAGAGUGCACAAGGGGAGCAAGCCUGAUGCAGCGACGCCGAGGGGGGGAGGACGGCCUUCGGGUUGGAGUCGCCUUUCGCUAGGGACGAAGAGGUAUGUGACGGUACCUGGAGAAGAAGCACCGGCUAACUACGUG